AACGAACGCUGGCGGCAGGCUUAACACAUGCAAGUCGAACGCGUGUAGCAAUACACGAGUGGCGCACGAGUGAGUAACGCGUGGAUAUCUGCCUUUUGGUUCGGAAUAACCCCGGGAAACUGGGGCUAAUACCGGAUGGUUCCUUCGGGAUAAAGAUUUAUCGCCAAAAGAUGAGUCCGCGUCCGAUUAGCGAGUUGGUGAGGUAAUGGCUCACCAAGGCGACGAUCGGUAGCUGGUCUGAGAGGACGAUCAGCCACACGGGGACUGAGACACGGCCCAGACUCCUACGGGAGGCAGCAGUGGGAAAUAUUGGACAAGGGGGGCAACCCUGAUCCGGCCAGGCCGCGUGAGUGAUGAAGGCCUUCGGGUUGAAAAGCUCUUUUGGGGGGGACGAUAAUGACGGUACCCGCAGAAUAAGCCCCGGCUAACUUCGUCCCAGCCGCCGCGGUAA
RNAcentral lists this ribosomal RNA (451 nucleotides) under uncultured bacterium. Its description in RNAcentral is "partial 16S ribosomal RNA". It matches the Rfam family "Bacterial small subunit ribosomal RNA", at positions 29 to 523 of the family's 1533-position model. The record is from RNAcentral.